CACGUAGGCGGCUCUUUAAGUCAGGGGUGAAAUCCUGGAGCUCAACUCCAGAACUGCCUUUGAUACUGAGGAGCUCGAGUCCGGGAGAGGUGAGUGGAACUGCGAGUGUAGAGGUGAAAUUCGUAGAUAUUCGCAAGAACACCAGUGGCGAAGGCGGCUCACUGGCCCGGUACUGACGCUGAGGUGCGAAAGCGUGGGGAGCAAACA
RNAcentral lists this ribosomal RNA (207 nucleotides) under uncultured bacterium. Its description in RNAcentral is "partial 16S ribosomal RNA". It matches the Rfam family "Bacterial small subunit ribosomal RNA", at positions 568 to 774 of the family's 1533-position model. The record is from RNAcentral.